RNAcentral lists this ribosomal RNA (468 nucleotides) under uncultured bacterium. RNAcentral's name for it is "partial 16S ribosomal RNA". It matches the Rfam family "Bacterial small subunit ribosomal RNA", at positions 28 to 507 of the family's 1533-position model. The record is from RNAcentral.
GACGAACGCUGGCGGCGUGCUUAACACAUGCAAGUCGAACGGAAAGGCCCUGCUUUUGUGGGGUGCUCGAGUGGCGAACGGGUGAGUAACACGUGAGUAACCUGCCCUUGACUUUGGGAUAACUUCAGGAAACUGGGGCUAAUACCGGAUAGGAGCUCCUGCUGCCUGGUGGGGGUUGGAAAGUUUCGGCGGUGGGGGAUGGACUCGCGGCUUAUCAGCUUGUUGGUGGGGUAGUGGCUUACCAAGGCUUUGACGGGUAGCCGGCCUGAGCGGGUGACCGGCAACAUUGGGACGGAGGUACGGCCCAGACUCCUACGGGAGGCAGCAGUGGGGAAUAUUGCACAAUGGGCGGAAGCCGGAUGCAGCAACGCCGCGUGCGGGAUGACGGCCUUCGGGUUGUAAACCGCUUUCGCCUGUGACGAAGCGUGAGUGACGGUAAUGGGUAAAGAAGCACCGGCUAACUACGUG